This 3092-nucleotide unclassified non-coding RNA is filed under the name Hevea brasiliensis (rubber tree). Lineage: Eukaryota; Viridiplantae; Streptophyta; Magnoliopsida; Malpighiales; Euphorbiaceae. The record is from RNAcentral.
GAGAAACUACUAGUCAUGUCCAUAACUUAAAAACACCACCAAAACAUAAGUACAUGAUCCAGGAUAAGUUAAAAGAGAUAGCAAACCACAGAGCCAAAAGAUGUGAAAUCUUUUAGCAGAGUGAUUUACCUAUUUAAGUCUAGACAAAAUAUUUAACUACCACCGUCUUCUCAAAAGAGUUUUGAACCAGAAACUAUUCACAAACCACACAUAAAAAAGAAAAGCAUGAAGGCGUUACGCGCCUUAGCAAAAGAACAUAGAACUGGAAACUUUCUCCUCGAGCUUUGGAAGCUGAGGAACGGAGACUGGUCCAGCAUUGGUUACUCCAUUAUGACUUGAGGAAGUCUCUGAUGCAUCUUCAAACUUCAUCCACUGUCCCAUUUGAGUAGCAGCAAGAUGGGCAUAACAGAUAGGAGCAACAACAGAUAUUGCAGUGGUGCUUCUCUGGUACACAUAAGAGAGAUUAUGAACAAGCUCUUGAAGAUCAUCAGCAGAGAAACCCAGCUCAUCAUACAAGACGUGAUAGUGAGUAGGACGAGUUGUACCAAUCAUUCCAGCAUGAGCACACAGGUAAAAGUCAUAAUUCCUUGGGUGACAGACUUUGUUGUCUAUGAUUGUGCCUGGAGGAACAUUGUUAGGAUCAUUAGGCUGGAAAAACUUGGUAUGAUGGUUCUUCUGGGCAACUAUCACCACAAACUUGGGUGACCACUUCUCAUCAAGAAACUUACAAGCCUCAAUAAUCUGGUCCAGCUCAACAUUCAGAACUUGACUAAACUGAGAUUCACUGACACCAUCCCUGAAUAUUAUUAUAUGCUCGGGCUUCCUUUUUCCAGAGCUCACAUAAAAAUCUAGCAACGCCUCCCUCAUUAUUCCAUCAUCUUCAGUAUCAGAGGUACGUUUAAACAAGUUGUCUAUCAUCUCCACUUUAGGAGACUGAGUACGAACUGAAGCUCUGUAACGAGAUAUUGAUGGCCACUGCCUUGAACUGACAACCGCUGCAAUUGAAGGGACAUCAGAUUGGCCAGGAGAGCCAUGGGACACAUCCAUCCCAAGAAUAAUGGUAGGGACCUUAGACACCAUAGGGAUUGCAGGAGAAUGUUCAACAGUUAACAUAGAGUUCAAACCUCCAAGCUUCGCGUUUAUCUUCAGGAGCACAUUGGUGAUAUAUUGAUCAUUGACUCUUGUUGGAGCUAUACACUGGGUAACAAUGCCAUACUCAGCAAGAUUCUUUCGCUUCCAUGGUCCGUAUACAUCACAGUUUUUCCUCUCAGGAAGCAAACAAAGCAGGAAUUUAGGUGCCCCGGGUAGCUUGGAUUGAACCUGCUCAAACAUCUUCUCAACCCUCACAAGUGGUGGAGCCCUCCUGACUUGUGGAGACUCCUCAAAGACAUCAAAUGGGUCUUCCACCAUAAUUCCUUUCUGUUUUCCACAUUUGAUCAGAUCACUGACUAGCCCUUGUACAUUGCAGCGUGCAGAAAAAUUGACAACGGCCCAGCGUUCUAUCUUAGUGGGAUCAACUAGUCUCUUAUUAUUGAAAUUCCAUCUGCCAUUACGAGGGACAAAGUCAUCACCGCCCGUCUUCAGCUUUGGGGGAGGAAGAACACGUCCUUCAAUCUGAGUGAAGUUAUUGCUAAUGGAUAUUCCACAGGAACGAAGCAGAGGCUCAGCAUCAUAUUGGUUGAUUUUGAGAGCAUUGCUUAAGACUUGCAUCCUCUCCUGAGGCUUUUGCCUUGAUUUCUCAACUAGUGAAGACCUCUGGAAUGUGGACAAGGAUUUUGUGUAUCUUUGCAAAGACACCAAGGAACAUAGCUCAAUUGGGAAAAAGGUGGGACGCUUUGGUUUCCCAACAUUUAUGCAGGGUAAAUCAGCAGAAUAACGCAACUCUAUGUUGCGGUGGUUGACAAAGUAAUCGAACACAGUAACUUCAGUAGUUUGGACCUCACCAUCUGCAUCUUUUCCUUUCUGCUUCAGGGUAAAUAGUUGCUCACGACAAGGACGGUCACUCAGUCCAGUAAUCUUGUACUCUUGAUUAGUGGGGGUUGUCUUCACCCUCAAAUUCUUGAGCACACGUUUUGCCUUUGCCCAAUCCAGUGAAAAGGGAUCCUUUGCAUUUUGAUUUGCAAUCAAGAAGUCCACGACAGGCCCAGGCUGGAUAAUCAUUGUUGUAGACACAUCAAUGUUCAAAGACAAGCCACUCUGGGUAGUCCGGAAGCUGGAAUGGAAUCCUCGACAACCAAGCACACCAGCGCCGACAUCAACAAAGUUCUUGGGAUCAUUGUGGAAAAAGGAUUGUCGAACAAGCAGGCAACCCUGCUUUGCAGCAUGCUGCCUCAAAAUAAUAUCCAAGACUCGCAAGGCUUCUUGAGAGUUCUCAGACUCUUGACCUCGCAAAGCAUUUGCAAUCGCCUGCAUUGGAAUCUUGGCAGCAAAGCUAAUCUCCACCUUAUAAGUUUUAGAUUGGUAUGGCCGCCUUAAUCUUUUCCUAUCAGUUUCAUUAGGAGGGCUUCCAUGUCUGCCAGGGCUAGAGUUGCCAUUGGUACCGUUGUUCCGAUUAGAUGUUAUGUCAUCUAGUACAACUGUGAACUCUAGUUUAUUUCUAGGUAGUGAACCGAUGGUGAACAAACUCUUCUCCCCAUCAUAUGCAAAAUCCUUCCCAGCCAAUUCUGUAUCAUAUGUUUCAUGCACUCUAUCCAGAACUUUUCUGCCAAUGCCUUUUCCCUCGACAGGUCGACCAUCCUCAUAAAAUAAGGCAACACUGUAAUGAAAGAAGUGUCCAUCAACAUUAGACACGUUCACUUUAAAGUGAUUGGUAAGGAUCGGAAUCUUUUGUCCCUUGCUUCCAAGGCCACGCCUUGCCAUGGGAACACGUAAAACCUUCUUCUUCACUGGCUCUGGUUCAGCUUGUGCAGGAGAGAAAUUAAGUGGAACAGGGGGAGGAGGAGGCAGAGCCUCUGUGGAUCCACCAUUCUCUUCUUCAGCCAUUACCACAAUCUUCUAAAGCUCAAAAAUGGCGGAUGAAGAAACAGAGUGAAGAGGUGAAACCCUAAUGUACGACAAAAGAGAAAAGAAAAGAGUGAGGUUGUAGUUGAACU